This is a long non-coding RNA of Eucalyptus grandis, 36891 nucleotides long. RefSeq lists it as uncharacterized. The transcript has 4 exons. NCBI's taxonomy places the organism in Eukaryota, Viridiplantae, Streptophyta, Magnoliopsida, Myrtales, Myrtaceae. The record is from RefSeq and is a predicted model, not a curated record.
UCGUUACGCGUUUCUGGUUCUGCUCGCAUUCUUCUCUCUUCUCCUCUCUCGCCAUGGCGUCUGGCGAUAUCGUCGUCUUCCCGAUUGAGAGCGUUCUCCGUCGGCCCUUCUUCUCCCUUUUUUAUUUGCCGUUUCUCGAUUGAUUGAUUGUUGAUGGGGGUCCAAUCGCUAUCUCUCGGUCUUGAUUUUGUGGAAGCAUCAUCUGGUUGCAGUGACCCCACCCCUGUUGCGCCGAGAUUCUCGAGGGUUUCGCUUGCCCUACGAUCUCUGUCGGCGUCUGGCGGUAUCGUCGUCUUCCAGAGAGGAGGAGAAGUAGCGAUGGUCCCGAUUUGACUGAUGACAGGGGGAUCGAUUGCUUUCUCGGUCUGAUUUUGUGAAGCGUCCAUCUGGUUGCAGAGAACUCAAUGUUGCGGAGAUUUUUGAGGGUCUGGCUCGGCCUACCUUUGCCUAUUGGUUAUCGGAUUUCUUUGGUUUGCGCCUCGUCCCUUUGAUCGCUUAGCGAUUCAUUGACCGAUCGAUUGAUCUUUGCAUUAUGCGUCCUUGUUUUGACCACCUCAUUCUGGAUUCUUGUUGUUCGGUGGAUGGGCAGUGCGCGGCCUCUUUCCUUCCUCUUGGAUCAUAUCUCUUGAGGAUGCCGUGAUGCCGUAAUGGGAGUGUUUGGUUUAGCUUCUCCUUUGACCCUUUAUUAAUACAAUGACCUAUCGAUUCUUCUGUACAAUUGUUUCACGAGCUGCUUCUGGAUUUUGUUAGGCUCCUUUCCCCUUGGAGCGAAAUUGUUUGUCUGAGGAUAUCAAGGACGAUCAAUACUACGGUGACACCGGUCAGCUUGUUCAUAAGACACGGAUGUUUGGGCUUUUUGGAAGACCGAUGAUCCUUUUGCUGCUUCUUUUUUCUUGGUUGAGAUGAUGAAAGUAGUCUUUCAGUCGAUAGGCUGAAAUUUGAUGGUCUCGAUUAGAACUUGUUCUUUGGUUUCUUUUAUCAUUUGGGGGUUGAUUAUCAUCUAGUCCUGAUCCUCUCACAGGUUGGAGUUUUGCUAGACUUGACAAGUGGUGAUCUGCUGUGAGCUGAUGAUUGUCUGAAAUUGGAUAAGCUCUCUAUCGUCUCUCGAGGCAGUUAUCGGUUUGAAUAAAUUUGUUCUCCAAUCCCCUAAUUUUCCGAUUAAUGCAGAACCCGAUUCUCGUUCCUCCGGAGGUCAGCGUUUGGUUGAUGUAUGAUUUGUGAUGGUUCUUUCUUUGCAAGGUGUAUUCGGCACAACAGAUCAUUAUGCAAUCUGGAUCCGCUUGCCGGUGUCUACUCCCUAAAAAUAGUCCCUCCCUCAUGUCCUCAUCCUUCAGUCUGAUCAGGAAACAUCGUUAUGGGAAGUGUUUGGUUUAGCUCCUCCUCUGAUCCUUUAAAGAACCCACUUUCUGUACAAUUUUUUUAUAAUCUGCUUCUAGAUUUUGGUAUUUGGUGAAUUUGCAGUGGUUUCUUUCCCCCUUGGAGUGAACUAUUUUUCUGAGGAUGGUAAGAACAAAUGAAUACCAUGACAUCGGUCAGUUUGUUUCAUAAAACUAGAUGUCGGGCUUUUUGGAGAAUGAUGAUCUUUUUGCUGUCUCUUUUCAGUUGAGAUGAUGAACCAGUAGUCUUUCAGGCGGGGCUGAAAUUUGCUGGUCUUGAUUGGAACUUGUUCUUCGGUUUUUUUUUUUUAACUUUUGGGGUUGAUUAUCGUCUAGCCCGGAUUCUCUCACAGGUCGGAGUUUUGCUAGACUUGACAAGUAGUGAUCUGCUGCGAGGUGAUGAUUGUCUCAGAUUGGAUAAGCUCUAUCGUCUCUCGAGGCAGUUAUCGGUUUGAAUGGAAAUUUGUUCUCCAAUCCCUUAAUUUUCCGAUUAAUGCAAUACCCAAUUCUCAUUCCUCUGGAGGUCAGCGUUUGGUUGACGUAUGAUCUGUGAUGGUUCUUUCUUUGCAAGGUGUAUGCAGCACAACAGAUCAUUAUCCAAUCCAGAUCCGCUUGCCAGUGUCUCCUUCCUAGAAAUUGUCCCUCUCUCUUGUCCUCAUCCUUCAGGCUCAUAAUGCGUCUAUGAUUGUGCAUGCAUUCCUCACUGAGCCGACACCCUUUCUGAACUACUCUUCAGAGGAGACAUUGUUCCGGAUCUUUUUUUUCUUUAUAUUUCUUGAUUGAUUUUAAAAAUCAGUCUGAUUUUGUUAACGCAAUGUUAUUUUCCAAAGGUUACAACUGGCCUUUCUGGGACUCUGGCAUGUUGUGGGCAUCAUUAGGGUCUGUGCUCCUCUGAUCGCUGAUCGAUUCAUCAUCAAUUGAUCUUUACAAGUUCAUACAAUGAGCUCAUUCUGGUAUUCACUAUUCCAUGAAUUGGUAGUGGCUUCGUUCUUCUUGGAGCGAUCAUUUUCUCUGAGGAUGAUGUCCAAGUGGACAAUGAAUAUGAUGCAACUGGUCAACUGGUUACAUAGAAUGCCACAUUUGGGCUUUUGGAGGAUUAAUGAUCGAUCUUACACUGUUUGUGGUUGAGCUGAUGAUCUAGAAGUACGACAAAUGAUCGAUCUUACACUGGUGAUCUAUUGCAUUUUCUGGAGGGCUGAGUGAAUUGUUUGAAAUUUAAUGAGCUGUUGCUGCUCGGAUUUUAGGCAGUUAUUGAUUUGAAUGGAACUUGUCCUUUUCUACUGUUAUUUUCGAGUUAACCCGAAAGAUCAGACUCCACAGAUCAGAGUUUGGUCAAGGCAAUACUAUACCUGGCCAAGAUUGAUAUGGAGUGUCUGGGAUAAGUGAUGUUCUUUCUUGCUCAUACACAUCAAUCCCUAAUCUGUCUUCCACUUCUGUUAUCUUCUGGUUAAGGUGGAAACGAUCAGAUGUUCUCUUUCUUUCGCAGGUCAGAGUUUGGUCGAGGCAAUAGUUUACCUCGUCAAUUUUGAUAUGGAGUGUCUGCAAUCGAUAAUGGUUCAUUCUUGUUGCAUAAGCAUUAAUUCAUAGGACAAGUUCUUCUUUCAGAGUUCUUUCUUGUCUGGAAAGGUCCGCACAUGUUCUAGCUCAUUUCUCUCCCUAUUCUUCUGUAGGACUCCUGAUUGCACUUUCAGCUGCAUACCAUAUGACUUGAUGCUUCUGGCUCUCAUUUUCCAGAGUUAUUUUCUCGUAUUAACAAAAAAUUUAGUGUGGGUGAAUAAAAAUGAAAGUUUGAAGUUCCCUUGCCAUUGAUCACCAGCUCUCUGCUACCUUUCACCAGCUUUAAGAUGAUGCUGAAUUCAAUUUGGUGAAGAUGGUUGUUGAGACUGAGGUUUUAUCCAACUCUGAUCACUAUCCACUGUCAGUAAGUUGGUCAAUGUGGAGACAAAUUGCUUUUUAUAUGGACAUGGUAUCUUUUUGGUUUUUAAUGGCUGUGGAAUUUGAUUUAGAUGGAGAAGAUGUGCUAAUUGCAGGAGUCUUUCGAUUAUUUCAUAGUUAUUCUAAGAAUAUUACUCGCCUUGUGGUUGGAUAGCAUUUGGUGCACUCCCUUGCUGGUAAUUUCACUUGAAACAACUGGUUGGUCACAGAUGGAUGAGGUUCUUGCCUUCUCAGGGAAUUGCUUCAGUCAGAUAUGAGUUUUUGGUCUAACUCUUUUCUUUGUUAUUCAGUUGGUAUUGCCUCGUCGCUUAUAAUGUAUAUAAGUUUUUCACCUCAUGGAGAUUCUUCAUAAAACCUGUCUUUACAUUCCACAACAGAUCACUAUCCAGUAUCCAAUCCAGAUCCGCAUCUUAUAAGUUCGAAGGCUAGUGUCUCCUUCCUAGAAAUUGUCCCUCUCGUGUAUCCUCAUCCUCCAGUUUCAUCUUGCGUUUUGUUCCCCUCUCAGUUGACAGCCUUUGCAAAGUUCAGAUGAGACAUCGAUCCCAAAAUGCGCUCUUGUUCCUCUGCUUUUCUUCUUGUUUCUUUGAUUGAUCGUUAAAUUGGUCUGAUUCUAUUUAUGCUAUCUUAUUUUCUGAAGGUUACACCUGGCCUCUCUGGGACUUUGCCAUGUUGUGGGCGUUGUUAGGGUUUGCGCUCUUCUGAUUGUUGAUUGAUUCAUCAUUGAUUGAUCUUUUCAUUGUAUUAUGAGCUGAUUCUGGUAAAUGCUAAUUCCAUGAAAUUGCGCAGUGGCUUCUUUCUUCCUGGAGUGAUCAUUUUUUUUUUCUCUGAGGAUGUUGUCUGAGGACAAUUAAUACAAUGCAACUGGUCAGUCGGUUACCUAGAAUAUGACUUUUGGGCUUUUUAGAGGACUUAUGAUCUUGUACUAUUUGGUUGAGCUGAUGAUCUUGAGAAGCCUUUUUUCUUCAGGACAAAUGGUGGACUGAAAUUUUGACAACCUUCUAGGCUUCUUUUACAGAUUGAAAGUUUUACUGGAUUUGACAGCUACUGAUCUGUUGCUUUUUCUGUGGGCUGAGUUGAUAAUUACUUGAAAUUGGAUGAGCUCCUGGUUUUCAAAUUUUGGGCAGUUAAUUGGUUUGAAUGAAACUUUUCCUUUACUUCUGUUAUUUCUUAGUUAAUCCGAGAGAUUAGAUCUAGUUCUCUUCCCUUCGCAGAUCAGAGUUUGGUCGAGGCAAUAUUUCAUGUGGCCAAGUUCGACAUGGAGUGUCUACAAUGCAGCAUCAAUUUCUAAUUUGUCUUCCACUUCUGUUAUCUUCUAGUCAAGGUGGUUAUCAUCUAGUUGAGGUGGAACGAUCAGAUGUUUUCUUUCCUUUGCAGGUCAUUGUUUGAUUGAGGCAAUCUUUUACCUCAUCAAUUUCAUGAUGGAGUGUCUGUGAUCAGUGAUGGCUCUUUCUUGCUGCAUAAGAACUAAUUCAUAGGACAAGCUCUUCUGUCAUAGUUCUUUCUUGUCUGGAAAGCUCCGCACAAGUUCUAGCUCGUUUCUCUUCAUUCUUAUCUAUGUGCCACAAUUGCUAAUUGGAUCUCUGGUUAUUCAUGGAGAUAUCAUUAAGAUGUACGUGUUAUGCACUUCUUCCCUAUCAUGGAGAUCGCUCUUGGCAUUACCUAGUUUGCUUCGCCUUCCUUUGUACACAACUUCUGUGUUUUUCUUUUGGUACGGAUCAAGAGGUCAUUUCGUGUUCUUUCUGUGCAAGAGAUUGUUCAAGUUGGAUUCAGUCAAUGGCCAUAUAAAUGUCUAAAAAAUUGUAGGUUUUCUUUGGUUAUUGGGACUGUGAAGGCUGUUUGCUGACAGAAUCGGUUUUACUUCAGGGCAUACUGGUAGAAUUUUAUUUUUUGAUGAUGUAUUUCAAAUAACUAUCCCGAUUGGUAUUCUUAAUCUUUUUUAUUUUAAAUCUAAUUUUUAACAGAUGAUGAUAGUUGAUGAUAGUUGAUACUAGUUGUUCUUUGUUAUUUGAGAAUCUACUUUGUCUUUGGGAUUGGAUUGGAAACUUUUGAUUUGAAUGUCUUGGAGAAGUGAUCUAUUAUGCAGUUUUUGUUUGCUUGAGUUCUGAAAUAGUCUCUGACCACAUAUUCAGGAUGGGCGCUGGACUGGAAUUUUGCAGAUCUCUAGGCAAUUUGUAGUUUUGAUUUAAGUUUGUCUUCAGUUGAUUGUCUUCAGGGAGCAAUGAGAUGGAAAUUGUUGAGUUCUCUCUACAGGUUGAAGUUUUGCCGGGUUUGAGAAGUGGUGAUCUACUGUGUUCUUCUGUAGGGCUGAGUUGAUGAUUGUUUGAAAUUGGACAAGCAGUUGCUUUGUGGAUUCUAGGCAGUUAUUGGUUUGAAUGAAGUUUGUUUUCCACUUCUGCUUUCUUCCGUUUAUGGGAUUUUUUGUGAAUCUGGAAAGCUUGAGAUCCUCAAAGUUCUGGUUUGUUUCUAUCCUUGUAAUGCAUGCUGCAUUAACUAAAGUGAUUGGUGGUAAAUCAUGGAGAUAUUGCAAGUGUAAUUUAUUUGUCUCGCCUUUUUUAUUUUGCGAAUGCUAGCUUCAUACAAUUUAGUUAGCUUAGGGUUUCAUUCUAUACAAUUUAUAUGCUUUUUUUUUAUACAGAGUUUUUGGUGGAACUUUUCAUUUACCAGGUCAUUUCUAUGCUUUAAGUGGUUGUUGAGGAGUGGUCAUGGACAUCCUUAGUGUUUACACUCCUUUGAUCAUCAAUUGAUGGAUUGAUCAAUCCUUUUGUUGUUUUAGAGUUGUUUCUGGAUUUAUAAUCCAAUGCAUUGGCUAUGCUUCUUUUUUUAGGGUCUCUUUGAUUGAGGAGGUUGUCUCAGGAAUGGCUACAUAUAUGAUGAGUUUGGUCAAUUAUUACUUAGAAUGAUUGAGCUUUUCCCGAGUUCAAUGAUCUAUUGACAUCUAUCUUUGGUUGGGCUGGUUUAUGGGUGGUGUCCUCGUCAUGUGUUAGACUAUUUGUGAAUAUAAUUAUUUUCCGAAUUAGAAGCGUUACUAAUCAGAUCCUUAAAAUCAAAUCAAUGUAUAUAUAAGUGGAAGGAGAAUAUUUAUUAGACUACAUAUUGGCCCUUUUUAUCUAUAUUUUAAAGUAAUUUGGCAUGAAAGAAAAUGAAAAAUAUGGGCCGUCUAGAAAAUACAGCCUUCAUUGCAAUGCCAUGGAUCCGAAUUUUUGAGAUCAAGAAUGAAGGACACGAUCACACCCACUGAGGACACGUGUUCAAAGAAGAUCCGUGCCGAGCGUGCCUUCCCGAUUCUUCACGCGAUACCGCGUGCGUCUCAAGCAAGCAACGGUCGGAAUUGACGGCCCACCGACUUUCCUGAAUUAAAACGUCAACAGAUCACAGCCGUCCAAUCACGACCCUUGCUUCGGAUGUAUUUAUUAUCGACGGUGAAUCCGAAGUCGGUGUAUCCUCCCCUAUAAAUAACGGUCCUCUCCCCCUCUUCCUCGUCUUUUAUUACGCGUUUCUGGUUCUGCUCGCGUUCACCUCUUUUCUUCUCUCUCUCGCCAGGGCGUCUGGCGAUAUCGUCGUCUUCCCGAUUUGAGAGCGUUUUUCUGUCGGCCCUUCUCCCUUUUUGUUUUCCGUUUCUCGAUUGAUUGAUUGUUGAUGGGGUUCCGAUCGCUAUCUCUCGUUCUUGAUUUUGUGGAAGCAUCGUCUGGUUGCAGAGACCCCACCCCUGUUGCGCGGAGAUUCUCGAGGGUUUCGCUUGCCCUACGGUCAUGCCUGUUGGUUAUGGGAAUCAUCCGGUUUACGCCUCGUCCUUUGAUCGCUUAGUGAUUCAUCGGCCGAUCGAUUGAUCUUUCCGUUAUUCGGUGAAUUGGCGGUGUGGCUUCUUUCCUCCUGGAUCGUAUCUCUUUCGUCAUGACCAAUCGAUCUUUCCGUAUGAUGUUUUACGAGCUGCUCCUGCAUUUUGUUAUUUGGUAUUCGCAGUUGGCUUUUUUUCCCUGAGAGCGGAACUGCUUGUCUGGGGGAUGAUGAGUACCAUGACAUUGGUCAGUUUGUUUCCUAAAACACGGGUGUUUGGGCUUUUUUGGAAGAUCGAUGAUGAGUACCAUGACAUUGGUCUGUUUUUCAGUUGAGAUGAUGAACUAUCGUAGUAGUCUUUGACCACAUCUUAGACCGGGUGAUGGACUGAAAUUUACUGGUUUUGAUGGGAAUUUGUUCUUCAGUUUUUUGAUCUCGAGGAGUUGAUUAUUGUCCGGUCCUGGUUCUCUCACAGGUUGGAGCUUGCCAGACUCGACAAGUGGCGAUCUGCGGCGUGCUGAUUGUCUGAAAUUGCAUAAGUUCUAUGGUUUCAGUUUGAAUGAAAUUUGUUCCCCAGUCCCAUAAUUUUCCAAUUAAUGCGUAAACCGAUUCUCAUUGCUUUGGAGUGGUUAAUGUAUUAUCUGUGAUGGUUCUUUCUUUGCAAGGUGUAUGGGCCCCAACUGAUCACUAUUCAAUAAUUUUGGCAAAUAAUUUUGAAGGCCAGUGUCUCCUUCCUAGAAAUAGUCCCUCGCUCGUGUCCCCAUCCUUUAGUCUCAUUGGGAGACAUCGUGAUGGGAAGUGGUUGGUUUAGCUCCUCCUCUGAUCUUUUAUCAAACCCACUUUCUGUACGAUUGUUUUACGAGCUGCUUCUAGAUUCUGUUAUUUUUUUUGAAUUUGCAGUGAUUUCUUUCUCCCUUGGAGUGAACUAUUUUUUGAGGAUGGCAAGGACGAUGAAUACCAUGAGACCGGUCAGUUUGUUUCAUUAAAUUAGAUGUUGGGCUUUUUGGAGGACUGAUGAUUUUUUUGCUGUCUCUUUUUGGUUGAGAUGAUGAACUAGUAGUCGUUUAGGUCACACUUUGGAGUUCUGCUAGACUUGACAAGUGGUGAUCUGCCGCUGAUGAUUGUCUGAAAUUGGAUAAGCUCUAUUGUCUUUCGAGGCGGUUGUUGGUUUGAAUGGAAACUUGUUCUUCAAUCCCAUAAUUUUCCAAUUAAUGCAAAACCAGAUUCUCAUUCCUUUGGAGGUCAGUGUUUGGUUGAUGUAUGAUCUGUAAUGGUUCUUUCUUUGCAAGGUGUUUGCGCCACAACAAAUCACUAUUCAAUCCAAAUUUGCUUGCCAGUGUCCCCUUCCUAGAAAUAGUACCUCCCUCGUGUCCUCAUCCUUUAGUCUCAACGAGAGACAUGGUUAUGGGAAUCUAUUCGGUUUAUGCCUCGUCCUUUGAUCAUUUAGUGAUUCAUCGACCUAUCAAUUGAUCAAUUGCGUUUUGCGUUGUUGUUUUGCCCAGCUCAUUCUGGAUUCUUGUUGUUCAGUGAAUGGGCAGGUGUUCGGCUUCUUUCCUUCAUCUUGGAUCAUAUCUCUUGAGGAUGCUGUGAUGCCAUAACGGGGAGGGUUUGGUUUAGCUCCUCCUUUGACCCUUUAUUGAUACAAUGACCAAUCGAUCUUUCUGUACAAUUGUUUCAUGAGAUGCUUCUGGAUUUUGUUAUUUGGUGAAUCCACAGUGUCUCCUUUCCCCUUGGAGCGAAACUGUUUGUCUGAGGAUGUCAAGGACGAUGAAUACUACGAUGACACUGGUCAGCUUGUUUCAUAAAACAUGGAUGUUUGGGCUUUUCGGAAGACUGAUGAUCCUUUUGCCGUUUCUUUCUUCUUCGUUGAAAUGAUGAAAGUAGUCUUUCAAGCAAUAGGCUGAAAUUUGCUGGUCUUGAUUGGAACUUGUUCUUCGGUAUUUUUUCUUUUUCUUUUUCUCUUUUUUUUUUUUUUUUUUUUUAAAUCUUUGGGGUUGAUUAUCGUGUAGUCUUGACAGGUUGGAGUUUUGCCGGACUUGACAAGUGGUGAUUUGCCGCGAACUGAUGAUUGUCUGAAAUUGGAUAAGCUCUAUCAUUUCUGGAGGCGGUUGUCGGUUUGAAUGGAAAUUUGUUCUCUAGUGUUAUAAUUUUCUAAUUAAUGUGAAACCCAAUUCUCAUUCCUUCAGAGGUCAGUGUUUGGUUGAUGUAUGGUCUGUGAUGGUUCUUUCUUUGCAAGGUGUAUGUGCCACAACAGAUCAUCAUCCAAUCCGGAUCUGCUUGCCGAUGUCUCCUUCCUAGAAAUAGUCCCCCCCUCAUGUUCUCAUCCUUCAGUCUCAUUGGAAGACAUUGUUAUGGGAAGUGUUUGGUUUAGCUCCUCUCCUGAUCCUUUAUUGAACCCACUUUAUGUAUAAUUGUUUUACGAGCUGGUUCUAGAUUCUGGUAUUUGGUGAAUUUGCAGUGGUUACUUUCCCCCUCGGAGUGUACUAUUUUUCUGAUGAUGGCAAGGACGAGUGAAUACAAUACCAUGACAGCGGUCAGUUUGUUUCAUAAAACUAGAUGUUGGGGCUUUUUGGAGGCCUGAUGAUCCUUUGCUGUCUCUUUUUGGUUGAGAUGAUAAACCAGUAGUCUUUCAAGCGAGAGGCUGAAAUUUGCUGGUCUUUACUGGAACUUUUCUUCAGUUUUUUUUAUUUAUUAUUUUUUUAUUAUUUUUUUUUUUUUAUAACUUUGGGGAUUGAUUACUGUCUAGCCCUGAUCCUCACAGGUCGGUCGGAGUUUUGCUAGACUUGACAAGUGAUCUGCUGUGAGCUGAUGAUUGUCUGAAAUUGGAUAAGCUCUAUCGUCUCUCGAGGCAGUUAUCGGUUUGAAUGGAAAUUUGUUCUACAAUGCCAUAAUUUUCCAAUCAAUGCAAAACCCAAUUCUCAUUCCUGCGAAGGUCAUUGUUUGGUUGAUGUAUGAUCUGUGAUGGUUCCUUUGUUGCAAGGUGUACGUGCCACAACAGAUCACUAUCCAAUCCGGAUCUGCUUGCAGUGUCCACUCCCUUCCUAGAAAUAGUCCCUCCCUCAUGUCCUCAUCCUUCAGGCUCAUCGUGCAUCUAUUAUUGUGCAUGCAUUCCUCACUUGGUUGACACCCUUUGCAAACUACCCUUCAAAGGAGACAUCAUUCCUGAAAACGCGUUCCUGACCCUUCUUUUGUUCUUUUUAUUUCUUGAUUGGUUUUAAAAUUGGUCUGAUUUUGUUAACACUAUGUUAUUUCCUGAAGGUUACACCUGGCCUUUCUGGGACUCUGCCAUGUUGUGGGCAUCGUUAGGGUCUACGCUCCUCUGAUCAUUGAUUGAUUUAUCAGCAAUUGAUCUUUCCAAGUUCAAUUGUAUUAUGAGCUCAUUCUGGUAUUCACUAUUCCCCGAAUUGGCAGUGGCUUCUCUCUUCUUGGAGCGACUAUUUUCUCUGAGGAUGAUGUCUGAGUGGACAAUGAAUAUGAUGCAAUUGGUCAGUUGGCUACAUAGAAUGCGACAUUUGGGCUUUUGAAGGACUAAUGAUCGACUUUACACUGUUUGUGGUUGAGCUGAUGAUCUAGAAGUACAACAAAUGAUGGAUUGAAAUUUUGACAACCUUCUAGGCUUCUUUUACCGGUUCAAAGUAUUUCUGGAUUUUGACAGCUGGUGAUCUAUUGCAUUUUUUGGAGGGCUAAGUUGAUAAUUGUUUCAAAUUUAAUGAGCUGUUGCUUCUUGGUUUUUAGGCAGUUAUUGGUUUGAAUGGAACUUGUCCUUUACCACUGUUAUUUUCUAGUUAACCCAAAGGAUCAGACUUCACAGAUCAGAGAGUUCAGUGGAGGCAAUACUAUACCUGGCCAAGUUUGAUAUGGGGUGUCUGGGAUCAGGGAUGUUCUUUCUUGUUGCAUACGCAUCGAUCCCUAAUUUGUCUUCCACUUCUGUUAACUUCUAGUUAAGUUGGAACGAUCAGAUGUUCUCUUUCUUUCGCAGGUCAGAGUUUGGUCGAGGCAAUAUUUACCUCGUCAGUUUUGAUAUGGAGUAUCUGUGAUCGGUAAUGGUUCAUUCUUGCUGUAUAAGCAUUAAUUCAUAGGACAAGUUCUUUCAGAGUUCUUUCUUAUCUUGGAAGGCCGGCACAUGUUCUAGCUCGUUUCUUUCCCCAUUCUUCUGUAGGACCCCUGAUUGCACUUUCAGCUGUGUACCCUACAACUUGAUGCUUCUAGCUCUCAUUUUCCAGAGUUAUUUUCUCUUAUUCACGAAAAUUUUAGUGUGGGUGAAUAAAACUGAAAUUUUGAAGUUCCCUUGCCAUUGAUCAACAGCUCUCUGCUGCCUUUCACCAGCUUUAAGAUAAUGGUGAAUUCAAUUUGGUGAAGAUGGUUGUGGAGACUGGGGUUUUAUCCAACUCUGAUCACAAUCCACCGUCAGUAAGUUGGUCAAUGUGGCAGACAAAUUGCUUUUUAUAUGGAUAUGGUAUCUUUUUGGUUUUUAAUAGCUGUGGACUUUGAUUUAGAUGGAGAAGAUGUGCUAAUUGUGGGAGUCUUUUGAAUUUUUCAUAGUUAUUCUAAGUAUAUUACUUGCCUUGUGGUUGGAUAGCAUUUGGUGCACUCCCUUGCUGGUAAUUUCACUUGAAACAACUGGUUGGUCACAGAUGGAUGAGGUUCUUGCCUCGGGGAAUUGCUUCAGUCAGAUAUCAGUUUGUGGUCUUAACUCUUUUCUUUGUUAUUCAGUUGUUAUCGCCUUGAUUUGCUUAUAGUGUAUAUAAGUUUUUCACCUGAUGGAGAUUCUUCAUAAAACCUGUCUUUAUGCGCCACAACAGAUCACUAUCCAGUAUCCAAUCCAGAUCUGCAUCUUAUAAGUUCGAAGGCCGGUGUCUACUUCCUGAAAAUAGUCCCUCCUGUGUGUCCUCAUCCUUCAGUUUCAUCUUGCGUUGUGUUCCCCUCUCAGUUGAGAGCCUCGGCAAAGUCCAGAUGAGACAUUGUUCCCAAAAUGCGCUCUUGAUCCUCUGCUUUUUUUCUUUUGAUUGAUUGUUAAAUCGGUCUGAUUCUGUUUAUGCUAUGUUAUUUUCCGAAGGUUACACCUGGCCUUUCUGGGACUCUGCCAUGUUGUGGGCAUUUUUAGGGUUUGCGCUCUUCUGAUCGUUGAUUGAUUCAUCAUUGAUUAAUGUUUCCAUUGUAUUAUGAGCUGAUUCUGGUAAAUGCUAAUUCCGUGAAUUGGCAGUGGCUUCUUUCUUCUUGGAGCGAUCAUUUUUUCUGAGGAUGUUGUCUGAGGACAGUGAAUAUGAUGAAUACAAUGCAACUGGUCAGUUGGUUGCCUAGAAUACAACAUUUGGGCUUUCUAGAGGACUUGCACUGUUUGGUUGAGCUGAUGAUCUAUAAAAGCCUUUUCUUCAGGACAAACAGUGGACUGAAAUUUUGACAACCUUCUAAGCUUGUUUUACAGUUUGAAAGCUUUACUGGAUUUGACAGCUGGUGAUCUGUUGCGUUUCUGUGGGCUUGAGUUGAUAAUCGGUUGAAAUUGGAUGAGCUCCUGGUUUUCGGAUUGUGGGCAGUUAUUGGUUUGAAUGAAACCUUCUCUUUUACUUCUGUUUUUUCUUAGUUAAUCCGAAAGAUCAGAUCUAGUUCUCUUCCCUUCGCAGAUCAGAGUUUGGUCGAGGCAAUAUUUCAAGUGGUCAAGUUCGAUAUGGAGUGUCUACAAUGCAGCAUCAAUUUCUAAUUUGUCGUGCACUUCUGUUAUCUUCUAGUCAAGGUGGUUAUCAUCUGGUUGAGGUGGAACGAUCAGAUGUUCUCUUUCCUUUGCAGGUCAUAGUUUGGUCGAGGCAAUCCUUUACCUCAUUAAUUUCGAGAUGGAGUGUCUGUGAUCUGUGAUGGCUCUUUCUUGCUGCAUAAGAAUUUAUUCAUAGGACAAGCUCUUCUGUCAGAGUUCUUUCUUGUCUGGAAAAGUCCACAGUGCUAGAUUGUUUUUCUUCAUUCUUAUCUGUGUGCCACAAUCACUAAUUGGAUCUCUGGUUAUUCAUUGGAGAUAUCAUUAAGAUGUAUGCAUCAUGCACUUCUUCCCUAUUGUGGAAAUGGCUACUGGCAUUACCUAGUUUGCUUUGCCUUCCUUUGUACACGAUUUCUGUGUUUUCUUUUUGUACAGAUCAAGAGGUCAUUUGGUGUUCUUUCUGUGCAAGAGAUUGUUUGAGUUUGAUUCAGUCAAUGACCAUAUAUAUGUCUAAAAAAUUGUAGGGUUUCUUUGGUUAUUGGAACUGUGAAGGCUUUUUGCUGACAGAAUCGGUUUUACUUCAGGUUAUACUAGGAGUAUCUUAUUUUCAAAUGAUGUACUUCAAAUAACUAUCUGGAUUGGCAUUCUUAAUCUUUCUUAUUUUAAAUCUAUUUCUUAACGGAUGAUGAUAGCUGAUACCAGCUGUUCUUUGUUUUUUUAGAGCCUACUUUCUCUUUGGGAUUGGAUUGGAAAACUUUUGAUUUGUAUGUCUUGGAGGAGUGGUGAUGUAUCAUGCAGUUUUUGUUUUCUCAAGUUCUGAAGUUGUCUCUGAUCACAUCUUCAGGAUGGGCGCUGGACUGAGAUUUUGAAGAUUUCUAGGCAUUUUGUAGUUUUGAUAUAAGUUUGUCUUCAGUUGAUUGUCUUCGGGGAGUGGGGAGAGAGUUCUCUCUACAGGUUGAAGUUUUGCCGGGUUUGAGAAGUGGUGAUUUAUUGUGUUCUUCUGUAGGGCUGAGUUGAUGAUUGUUUGAAAUUGGACAAACAGCUGCUUUGUGGAUUCUGGACAGUUAUUAGUCUGAAUGAAGUUUGUUUUCCACUUCUGUUUUUUUUCCAUUUAUUGUGAGAUGAUUAGGCCUACCUCUCUUUCAUUCAAUUGCAAGCCUCUUCUGUUUCGUUGUGGGCUGUCUUUAAUCUGUAAUGGUCCUUUCUACAUUUCAUUUAACAAGCUCUUCUUUAUUUGAGCUUCUCUUGCCUUUUGUUGUUUUUGGAAAAUGAAUAGUCAUUCACUAUCUUCCAUUGUAGGGAUUGGUUAUGAGUCUGGAAAUCUUGAGAUCCUCAAAGAGCCGGCUUGUUUCUAUCCUUGCAGUGCAUGCUGCAAUAACAAGUAGCUGGUAAAUCAUGGAGAUAUUGCAAGUGUAAUUUAUUCGUCUCGCCUUUUUUAUUUUGCGAAUGCUAGCUUCACACAAUCUAUAUGAUUGAUGUGUUUUCUUUCGAUACAGAAUUUUUGGUGGAACUUUUCAUUUACCGGGUGAUUUCUAUGCUUUAAGUGGGUGUUGACAAGUGGUCAUGGACAUCCUUAGUGUUUAUGCUCCUUUGAUCAUCGAUUGAUGGAUUGAUCAAUCCUUCUGUUGUUUUAGAGCUGUUUCUGGAUUUACAAUCUAGUGCAUUGACUGUAGCUUCUUUUCUCACAGAGCGAUCUCUUUGAUUGAGGAGGUUGUCUCAGGAAUGGGUACAUAUGAUACAUAUGAUGAGGUUGGUCAAUUAUUACAUAGAAUGACUGAGCUUUUCCCAAGUUCAAUGAGCUAUUCACAUCUAUCUUUGGUUGGGUUGGUGUAUGGGCAGUCUCCUUGAUCAUCUUCAGGACUGGGUGAAGAACUGAUAUUUCGAUGAACUCCUGCUGCGUAGGCACUUGGGUUUUUAUUGAAUCUUUCCUCAGUUGAUUCCCUUGGAGUGGAAAUAUGAUAAUUGUCUUUGUUCCUAUUCAUUUAUAGGUUGGAGUUUUGCCAGAUUUUAUAAGUGAUGAUCUAUCGCCUUUUCUGUGCAGCUGAGUUGAUGCAUUGUGGAGUCCGGCCUUUUUCUGAAAUUGGAUAAGCUCCCCCUUGGAUUUUGGUUCUCUUGAUGUGCUCAUUCUAUAUGUGUCUAUGGAUCAAUCCCUAAUCAAUUGAUAUUUUGACCAUGCUUUUAUGAUAGGGUAUGCAAGAACUACCUUGACUUAUGCUUAGAGGGUUUGAAGUUCGACAUAAGAUCUCUUGAUUGUCAUCGGAUGGCCUCUCUUUUGGACAUAGCUGCAAAAGGAGAGUACUAAGUCUCCUUACUUGCAAUAAGAUAUCUGUAUGGUUUGCUUAGCCAACAUCUUCCACUGCUGUAAUAAUUUCUUCUGAUACAGUGAUUGUUGGGGACAUUUUAGAAAUGAGGCUUUUUGUAGGUGAGAUGGGUUGCUUUUAGUUUGUAGUGCCACCUUGAGGGCCUAAUUUCUGAAUAUUUUAGGUUCUCGUUGAUCCAUGGGACUAUGAAGACUUUUCUGCUGGACCUAAGUUAUACUUUGUUGCAAACUGUUAGCAUCUCAUUCUGAAAAGAUGAACUGGUACUGUGCUGUUUUAAUAACAUACACCCUUCGGUUCCUUUCAUAACCAGUAGGUCUCUUUCUUCUCGUGUUUCAUGAUUGUCAUAACUCAUAAGUGAUCAGGCCUCACAUGGGGAUGUUGACAGGACAGCCAUGUAGACAUAACUCCCUUGGCAUUACUUGCACUCUGACUGGUUCUCUCCUUUCUGCUGAUUCUCUUGUUUCUUAUCCAUCAAAGCUGUGUGUUGUGGCUGUACACUGUCAGCAGACAUGGCCAGUCUGGCUGGGAGGAGCAAACAACUUGGUGCUUGGUUGGCAUGUUUGUUGAAUUUUGUAGUUAAUUUUAAUGGGUGAAACUGAAGGGGCAGAUGACAAUGCUGCAUAAGCUAUGUUUUGAGGUUUUGACAUACCUGGUGAGCAUGGAGCUCUUCUGAUAUCUUAUGAUACCCUAAUGUACGACGGGUGAACUUCUACUUUUUAUAUAUGAUCUUAAAUUUAAUCAAGAACAUAUGCUGGUGAGGAUGGAGUUCUUCUGAUAUCUUAUGAUACCCUAAUGUACAACGGGUGAACUUCUACUUCUUAUAUAUGAUCUAAAUUUAAUCAGCAACAGAUGUUGAAGCUUUUUAGGGGUUAUGAAUUUAUGGAUGUCCAAUUGCAGCGUGAUCCUUUGCCAUUGAUGAUCUUUCGACCAGAUACUCUAAUUGAUGGUUCUACUGUAUCUCUUUCUCAUCGGCUUUACAAGGGUUGUUCAAGUCAUCUUCCUUGUAAUUGGAGAUACUAAAUGUUCACCUUAUGAUCGGUUUCAUUUGCUUUGGUAUUUCGUUUGGAGGCAAGAAUUUUGAAGCAUCUGACUUGGUCUAUUUCCAGAACAAUUUUGGCGAAGGCUCUGAUUUUUUACAGAAAGGUUUAUCAAAGUUAUUAAGGUUCAAGCCUACGUCUGAUCACAUUAACUAAUUUUGCGGCUUCUAAUGCUAUAUGGAUUAUUCAGUCGUCGACGGGUGCUUGUUCCAGUUUAGAGCGAUCCCAGUAAGGACCAUGUGAGGAUGCUAAUUGAUCAAAAUUGUUAGAGAAUUCUAGUUCUUGAGUUGGAGAAGGCAGGAGGUUAUUAUUUAAUGCAAUUAUGUUUAGUUGAGAUACUGAAUUAUUGUUUUUCUUUGUGGAUUGGAGUGAUGAGCAAUGUGUGGAUCUUCAUAUAGGGAUUGUCUGAUUUUUGUAUUCUCAAGGAUUGAAGGAGAUGUGACGGACAUCUAGAUCUCUUCCUGUUGUAGGUUGGAGUCCUUUCGCAACUCAUGCUGUCCACCUGGUUUGUGUUGUAGGAUAUGGACCCAUUUUAACUAUUAGAGGAGUCGAUUGACUUAGCAAGCUUUUGCUUUUUGCUUCUGCUGGGGUACUUUCGGUAUAAAUGGUUGAUUUUGGGUGCCAGUUCAAGUUUCUUUCUUCUAUGAUGUCAUGCUCUCUAUCUUCGUCUGCGAACUUCACUGGAUAAAAUAACAAUUACUACAAUUGAGUCUUGUGUCCAAGGGUAAGUCUAGUUGGGGCUUCUACUUUUUGCUUCUCCUGGGGGUAUUUUUCGUGUAAAGUACUGUUGAAUGGCAGUAUGACUUAUCAGAUUAUUUUACCCAACUCUUGUGAGAUAUUUGCAGAUAUUCGCUAACAUCAUGGCCAGUUUAUCCCUUAAUACUUUCAAUUUGUUUGGUACAGUCUGUAGAAGCUCUCUCUUCGGGAUUCUCUCUAUAUUAAAGUUCAAGUUGAUAUAAAUUUGCCUCACAAAUUAGUUUUAUAUUGCUUGUGUGUUGAAAUCGAAAGUUAUUACUUGGUCACGAGCAGCUCGCAUGAUCCUUCUACAUGGGUUCACCCCUCAUCCUCUUCGAAACUCUUAUUCUGUUAUCUUCAUUUUCUGAAGAUGUUGGCUCUAGUUUGUACCUAAUAAACUAUAUCUGCAAGGAUGCUCCGGAAUAUGCUCGUGUGUAAGAGUGGGUGGAUGGUUUGGAUGUUUUUUGCCAACUUUUAUAAGGUCGCUCUUUGAAUGAGAUGGUGCACUCGGACAUGUUGCUUUCGGGUAGGGUUCAUGUGUUGUAUGAGCUAUGCCUGAUGUUGAACUUGAGAGGAAAGACUAACUGUUUUGAAGACCUCGCAAAGAAAUUGAGCCUUCCUGCAGCAUAUAUGGAGCUUGUAUAAUUCUGCUCGUAUUUUUGGACUUACCAACAUAUUUCUGUCUAUCGGCAGUUGCUCAUUUUUUAGAGCAAAUUGUGCAACUAUUAUCGUAGUACAAGUAAGACAGUUGUGGUUGGCAGAAAAUCAAGCAUGGCUUGUGCAGAUAGCACCUGUUAUCAUUUUGGUUAGGGUGUGAUGUGCUAACUUUUGUAAGUGAUGUCCUGGGCCCAUGCUCUGUAUUUUAUCGAGACUUCAAAUUCUUGACAUUUUCCAAACGAGAGGCGGUGAUUUUCUUGUGACUAAUUGUGGGUGUUCCCGGUCAAGUUUCCUAAUUGGAGAUAUUGAGUGUUUUGCCAACCAGUAAUCAUGGGCAAUUAUGGACUUAGGUAAAGUGGCAAGUCGAAGUUUGUUGGUCUUUUAUUAUUUUAACCACAAUUCAUUUAAGAAUAAAAAAUUAUUCAAAGCAGCCAACCCCGAUUUCUAAAACCAGGGUGAUGCUGCGACCAUAGCAACUCUCAGGAGGUCAAAGAUGACCCGUAAUCUCAAGCGAAGGUUGGAAUUGGCAGCCCACCGCCUUUCCUUGACUAAAAUGUCAACAGAUAUAUUAUUUUCACGAUUCACGACUCUGCUUCGAUUUAUUAUUUUCACCGUCCCUUCCCAAGUCGGUGGAUACUUCUCUAUAAAUAACCGUCCUUUCCCCUCUCCUCAUUAUAUUCUUCCAGUCUUGUCACGCGUUUCUGGUUCUGCUCGCGUUCCCCUCCUCUCUCUCGCCUUCUUCAGAGAGGAGUAGCAAUCACUCUUCAUCGACCAUUCUUCCGUUUCUUGGUUGAUUGUCUCUGGGUUUAAGCGUUUGCUUGCAGAAGCCUCACCGUUGUGGAGAUUCUUGAGGGUUUGAUUUGGCCUACGAUGCUCAUGGUUAUUGGAAUUAUCUUGUUUACGCUCAGUGAUUGAUCCACCCAUCUGUCUUUGCGUUAUUAUCUGACCAGCUUAUUUUGGAUCAUACCUCUUUCGUCUGAGGAUGUCAUCCCGGGAAGUGUUUGGUUUAGCUCCUCCUUUGACCCUUUAUCGAUACAUUGACGGAUUGAUCUUUCCCUCCAAUUGUUUUACGAGCUGCUUCUGGGUUUUGUUAUUUCGUGAAUUGGCAGUGGCUUCUUUCCGGUCUUGUCUGAGGAUGUCAAGGACAAUGAAUACUAUGAUGCAUUGGUCAGUUUGUUUCAUGAAAAUCAGAUGUUGGGGCUUUUUGGAAGACUGAUGAUCCUUUUGCGAUCUCUUUUUGGUUGAGAUAAUGAACUAGUAGUCUUGAUUAGAAUUUGUUCUUAGGUUUUCUUAUCUUCGGGGGGUUGAUUAUCGUCUAUAGUCGCUCAAGGUAGUUAUUGGUUUGAGUGAAAUUGGUUCUCCAGUGCUGUAAUUUUCUGAUUGAUGGGAAAUCCAAUGCUCAUAUCUUCAGAGGAGAGUGUUCAGUCGAUCUAUGAUCUGUGAUUGUCCUUGCGCCACAACAAAUCGCUAUCCGAUCCAGAUCCGCUUGUCGGUGUCUCCUUCCUAGAGGUAGUCUCAUCAUGCGUCUAUGAUUGUGCAUGCAUUCCCCACUCAGCUAACACCCUUUGGGCAGUACUCUUCAGAGGAGACACCGAUCCUAAAAAGGUGUUCCUGACCUUUCUUCUUUUCUUUUUAUUUUUUGAUUGAUCUUAAAAUUGGUAUGAUUCUGUUUACGAUAUGUUAUUUUCCAAAGGUUAAGCCUGGCCUCUCUUGGACACUGCCGUGUUUUGGGCAUCAUUAGGGUUUGCGCUCUUUUGAUCGUUGAUUGAUUCAUCAUUGAUUGAUCUUUCCAAGUUCAGUUGUAUUAUGAGAUCAUUCCAGUACUCACUAUUACCUGAAUUGGUAGUGGUUUCUUUCUUAUUGGAGCAAUCUUUUUCUCUGUGGAUGAUGUCUGAGAGGACAAUGAAUACAAUGCAACUGGUCAGUUGGUUACAUAGAAUACAACAUUUGGGCUUUUUGGAGGACUAAUGGUCUAUCUUGCACUGUUUGUGAUUGAGCUGAUGAUCUAGAAGUCUUUGUCUUCAGGACAAACAAUGGAUUGAAAUUUUGACAACCUUCUAGUCUUCUUUUACUGUUGAAAGGUUUACUGGAUUUUGACAGCUGGUGAUCUAUUGCAUUUUCUGUGGGGCUGAGUUGAUAAUUGUUUGAAAGUGGAUGAGCUCCUGCUUCUCGGAUUUUGGGCAGUCAUUGGUUUGAAUGGAACUUGUCCUUUACUUCUGUAAUUUUUUAGUGAAUCCGAAAGAUCAGAUCUCGUUCGCUUCCCUUUGCAGAUCAGAGAUUGGUUGGGGCAAUACUUUACUUGGUCAAGUUCGAUAUGGAGUGUCUAUGAUCAGUGAUGUUCUUUCAUGCUGCAUAAGCAUCAGUUCCUAAUUUGUCCUCCACUUCUGUUAUCUUCUAGUUAAGGUAGAAUGAUCAAAUGUUCUCUUUCCUUCGCCGAGUUUGGUCUAGGCAAUACUUUACCUCAUCAGUUUUCAUAUGCAAUGUGUGCAUAAGCAUCAAUUCAUAGGACAAGCUCUCCUUUCAGAGUUCUUUCUCAUCUGGAAAGGUCCACACAUGUCCUAGCUUGUUUCUCUCCAUUCUUAUCUAUGUGCUACUAUCACUAAUUGGAUCUCACGGAGACUAUUUUGUUAUAUGUGAAUGCUCUUUUUACCUAGUUUGCUUCACCUUUUUUUUACACGACUUCUGUGUUUUCUUUUGGUACAUAACAAGAGGUCAUUUUGUGUUCUUUCUGUGCAAGAGGUUGUUUGAGUUGGUUGGACUCAAUGGCCAUAUAAUUGUCUUAAUUGUAGGUUUUCUUUGGUUAUUGGGACUGUGAAGGCUUACUGCUGACAGAUCGGUUUUACUUCAGGGCAUCCUAGCAUCUUAUUUUGAAAUGAUAUAUUUCAGAUAUCUGACAUGAUUCCUCUGCAGUCUGAUGUUGGGUUGGUGGACCAGGAGUGCUGGGUGAUGAACACGUGUUUCUUUUUUAAAAUUUAUUCUUUAAUCAUCUUUGGGUAGUGGCAAGAAUCGAGAUGCUAAUCGUCUAGUUCUAAUUGCAUUAGGUCGAAGGUUUGCUGAAUUUGAGAAGUGCUGAUCCAUUGCCUUUUCUGCAAGGCUGGGAGGAUGAAUUGUGGAAACAGGGUUUUGUUAGCUCUCAUUUGGAUUCUGGACUAGGAGUACUGGGCGAUGAACACUUAUGUUUCUUUUUUAAAAUUUAUUCUUUAUUUAAUCAUCUUUGGGUAGUGGCAAGAAUCUAGAUGAUAAUCAUCUAUUUCUAAGUGCAUUAGGUCAAAGGUUUGCCGAAUUUGAGAAGUGCUGAUCCAUUGCCUUUUCUGGUAGGCUGAGAGGAAGAAUUGUGGAGACGGGAUUUUGUUAGCUCUCAUUUGGAUUGUGGACAGUAAAUGGUUCCAAUAUUAUUCUUUAGUUCUUUUUUUUUUUUCUUUUUUUUCAAGCAAGAGGAUCACCAUCCAGUUCUCUCUCUUUUGUAGGAAAUUGGUUAAAGCAAAGACUUCACCUCUAACUUCACUAUGGUGUGUUAUUUUGAUCUAGGAUGGUGCUUUGUAGUUGUGUAUUAGAAGAAUGGUUUGAUUGGACAAGAUCCUUAAUUAUUUGGCACUUCUUACCUGGAAAGCUUGAGGUCCACAUUAGUCUUGGCUUGCUUCUCUUCAUUCUUAUCUUAUAUGUGAACUGCAAUCACUAAAUGGAUUGUUUUUGGAAAGCAUGCAAAUAGUUUAUGCCUCAUUGUGCCCUUAUAUUAGACUCUUGACAAAUCUGAAUUUGGUUGGCACUUAUGACUUUCAAUUUGUUUACUGAUUUUGUAAGAUGAUAGUUGAUACCAGUUGUUCUUUGGCAGAUCCGAGCCUACUUUCUCUUCAGGUUUGGAUGGAAAACUUCGAUUUGUAUGUCUUAUCUGUUUCUUUGAUGGAACUAUCCUGCAUGUUAUUUAUCACAAACUUUUUUCCUUUUCAACAUACUUUGUUGCACAUUCAUUUGGAAAAAUUCAAAGAUGUUUCUUGCAUAUGCAUUUGCUUGGACUUGGCGUGUAUGUCUGCUUGAAUUUUGUGUGAAUAGAUGUUAAAUCUGGUUUAUUUGAACAAUUUUUUGCGAGGUUUCUUUUGUGUUUAUAUUUGAUGAGACUGAUGGUGUCUGGACGGUAAUUCCUAUGCUGAGAUGUUAAUUUGGUGUAACCUAUUGUCCCUUUUUUCUCUACGUUAUAUGAACUUGCAGGAUAGGUUUUAUUCCAAAAAUAGUUGUUUUUCACAGUAUUUUUUGCAGUAACAUUUACCUUUUGCCAAAAUUUUACCAAAUGUAUAGUAUGUGAUGUUUUCACUUAUAAAACGAUGUUGUGGGAUGGUUUAUUUUAUAGAUUGAUCUUUCUAUUAAAUUGUUUAUCAAGAUGAUUAUGGAUUUCGGUGGACUGGCAGUCCCAUCUUUCCUCUUGGAGUGAUCUCUUCAUCUGGGCAUGUCGACUAAGGAUGAUAAAUACAUAGAAGCUGGUCAGUUUACAUAGAAUAAGGUGCUUGGACUUCUUGGAGGAGUGGUGAUCUAUUAUGCAGUCUUCGUUUGCUUGAGUUCUGAAGUAGUCUCUGAUCACAUCUGAAGGACAGGCAAUGGACUGAAAUUUUGAAGAUUUCUAGGCAUUUUGAAGUUUUGAUUUAAGUUUGUCUUCAGUUGAUAGGACAGCUGUCUAGACAUGACUUGCCUUGGCAUUGCUUGCCCUCUGACCGGUUCUCUCAUUUCUGCUGAUUCUCUUAUUUUGCAUUCACUACAAAGCCGUGUUGUUACAUGUAUGCUGUCCACAGACAUGGCUGGUCAGGCUGGGAGGAUCAGACUAGGUGCUUGGUUGGCAUGUCUGUCAAAUGUUAUAGUUAUUUCUAGAUUGGUGAAACUGAAGCGACAGAUGAUGAUCCCUCAGCGGUAAGCUUUGGUUUACAUAUCUGGUGAGCAUGGACUUCAGUCUAUAUGAUACCCUAAUAUGCAACAGGCAAACUUCUACUUUGCAAUAUAAUCUAAUUUAAUCAAAGCAUGGCUGUUGAAGCUCUAUGAAUUUAUAGAUCUCCAAUUGCAGUGUGAUCCUUUGCUAAUGAUGAUCUGUCCUCCAGAUAUUCUAAUUCAUGGUUCUAUCACUGUAUCUCUUUCUCAUCGACUCUAGAAGGGUUGUUUGGAGUCAUCUUCCUUCUAGUUGGAGAUAUUAAACGGUUGCCUUAUGAUCGGUUUCAUUUGCUUUGGUAUUUGCUUUGAAGGCAUGAAUUUUGAAGGAUCUGGCUGAGUCUUUCCAGAAAAAUGUUGGCAAAGGCUCUGAAUACAGAAAGGUUAACCCUUAUUAAGGUUCAAGUCUCCUUCUGAUUAUAUCAACUAAUUUUGUGCUUCUAUGCAAUACGGAUUUAUUCAGUCAUCAACAGGUGCUUGUCCCAGUUUAGAGUGAUUUCACUAAGGACGGUGUGAGAAUGCUAAUUGAUCAGAGCUGUUAGAGAAUCCAAGUUCUUGAGUUGGGGAAGGCAGGAGGUUAUUAUCUAAUGCAAUGUUUAGUUAAGCUACUGACUACUUGUUUUUCUUAGUGGAUUGGGGUGAUGGACGAUGUCUGGAUCUUUCUAUAGGGAUUGUCUGUAGCUGCAUGAAUUCUGCGAAGAUCUGGUUUAUGAUAUUUUUAUUCGAGGAUGCGAUGAAUGUCCAGUUCUCUUCCUGUUGUAGGUUGGAGUCUUUUUGUUGCAAAUUACGCUGAAUUUGACCUGGUUUGUGUUGCAGUAUCAACCCAUUUUAACUAACUUUUGGGGGAAUGAUUUGACUUUGGCAAGCUUUUACUUUUUGCUUCUCAUGGGGGUAUUGUUGGUGUAGAUGGUUUAUUUUGGGUGCUGGUUCAAGUCUCUCUCUUCGAUGAUGCCGUGUUCUCAUCUUGGAUUGUGAACUUCACUGGAUAAAUCUGAAUUACUACAAUUGAGUCUUGUGUCCAAGGCUAAGUCCAGUUGUUGCUUAGCUCAGUCAUAUGGGGACUUUUACUUUUUGCUUCUUCUGGAUGUAUUUUGGUAUAAAUGGUUUAUUUUGGGUAGCAGUUCAAUUCUUUCUCUUCGAUGAUGUCAUGCUCUCAUCUUUUUCUGUGACGUUCACUGGAUAAAACUACAGCUGAGCCCUAUUUCAACGCUAAGCCUUUGCUUGGUCAUUUGAUGGCACACAUUGAUGGCAAUGUUUGACUUAUCGGAUACUUCUGUCUUAUUCUUGUGAGAUGGGAGACUGAUUGCAGAUAUUCGCUAAAAUCACGACAGAUUAUCCGUUUCUACUUUCAAUUGAUUUGGUGCAUUCCAUAAAAGCUGUCUCUGGAUUCUCUUUUUGAAUAUCCAGUUGAUGUGAAUUUGCCUGGCAAAUUACUCUUAUACUGCUUGUGUGUUGGAAUCAGGAGUUACUGGGCCAGGAGCUCGCUUGAUCCCUCUAGCACCGAUUAACCCCUCAUUCUCUUUGAAACUAAUGUUCUAAUAUCAUCAUUUUUCUGAGGAAGCUGGCUCUAGUUUGUUAAACCAAAGACAUGCCUUGACCAUGUCAAUUCAGGACAUGUGGUCAAAGAUGACUCAUAACGGGCAUCCCUCAGCAUGCGUCUCAAGUGACGGUCAAAAUUAGCAGCCCACCAUGGCAAUUCAGGACAUGUGGUCAAAGAUGACUCAUCACGGGUGUCCCUCAGCAUGCAUCUCAAGUGUCGGUCAGAAUUAGCAGCCCACCUACCUGUCCAAUCAUGACUCUCCUUGGGAUUUAUUAUUAUCAACAGUCAAUCCAAAGUUGGUGGAUCUUUUCCUAUAAAUAACCGUCCUUUUCCCCUCUUGUCCUCAUUAUAUCCUUUGCUCUUGUCACGCAUUUCUGGUUCUGCUUUUCUGCUCAUGUUCCCCUCUUCUCUCUCUCCCCAUGGCCUCUGCAAAGUGCAAACAUCAUCAACAUGGAGAAGUAGCAAUCCCGAUUAAGCGCUCUUUGUGGACCAUCCCUUCUCCUUCUGUUUCUGUUUCUUGAUUGAUUGUUGAUGGCAUCGAUUGCUUUUUCGGUCUGAUUUUGUGAAGCAUCUGGUUGCAGACCCCCUGUUGCGGAGACUCUGGAGGGUUUCGCUUGGCCUACUAUGCCUAUGGUUAUCAAAAUUAAUUCGGUUUACGCCUCAUCCUUAAUCAAUCUUUCUGUCACCGUAUUAGCAGCUUCUGGAUUUUUGUUAGUUGGUAAAUUGGCAUUUGCUUCUUUCCUCUUGGAUCAUCUCUUUUUUCUAAGGAUGUCGUUGUGGGAACUGGGAAGUGUUCAGCUCCUCCUCUGAUCUUUUAUUGAUCCAUUGACUGAUAGAUCUAUCCGUUUAAUCAUUUUACGAGCUGCUUCUUUCCCCUUGGAGUGAAACAGUUUGUCUGAGGAUGUCAAGGACAAUGAAUACAGGAACACCAGUCUUGUUUCGUGAAACUAGGUGUUUGGGCUUUUUGGAGGACUGAUGAUACUUUUGCGGUCUUUUUUCUGGUUGAGACAAUGACCUAGUAGUCUUUCAUCACACCUUAGUGCUGGCGAUAGACUGAUGAAAUUUACUGGUUUUGAUGGGAAUUUGUUCUUCAGCAUUUUUUAUCUUGGGGAGUUGAUUAUCGUCUAGUCCUGAUUCUCUCACAGGUUGGAGUUUUGCUAGACUUGACAAGUGGUCUUCUGCUGCGAGCUGAUAAUUAUCUGAAAUUGGAUAAGCUCUAUUGUCUCUUGAGGCAGUUAUCGGUUUGAAUGAAAUUUGUUCUCCAGUCUCAUAAUUUUCCAAUUGAUGUGAAAACCGACUCUCAUUCCUUUGGAGGUCAGUGUUUGGCCAAUGUAUGAUCUGUGAUGGUUCUUUCUUUGCAAGGUGAACGCGCCACAACAGAUCACUAUCCAAUCUAAAUCCGCUUUGUCAUAUUUUUAUUGAAGGUUGAAAGCAGCUGUCUCCUUCCUAGAAAUAGUCCCUCCCUUGGGUCCUCGUCCUUCAGUCUUAUCAGGCAUCUAUGAUUGUGCAUGCAUUCCUCACUCAGCUGACCCCUUUGCGAAGUACUCUUCAGAGGAGACAUCGUUCCCAAAAGUGCACUUGAUCCUUCUUCUUUUCUUUUUGUCUCUUCAUUGAUUGUUAAAUCGGUCUGAUUCUGUUUAUGCCAUGUUUUUUUCCCAAAGGUCAAGCCUCUCCUCCCCGGGACUCUGCCAUGUUGUGGGCAUCGUUAGGGUUUGCGCUCCUCUGGUCAUUGAUUGAUUCCUCAUUGAUUGAACUAAGUUCAAUUGUAUAAUGAGCUGUUUCUGGUAUUAACUAUUCCGUGAAUUGGCAUGGUUUCUUUCUUCUUGGAGCAAUUUCUCUGAGGAUGAUGUGCAACUGGUCAGUUGGUCACAUAGAAUACGACAUUUGGGCUUUUCGGAGGACUAAUGAUCUAUUCUUGCACUGUUUGGUUGAGCUGAUGAUCUAGAAGCCUGUCUUUAGGACAAGCGAUGGACAGAAAUUUUGACAACCUUCUAGGCUUCUUUUACAGGUUGAAAGUCUGUCGCGUUUUCUUUGGGGCUGAGUUGCUAAUUGUUUGAAAGUAGAUGAGCUCAUGCUUCUUGGAUUUUAGGCCAUCAUUGGUUUGAAUGGAACUUAUCCUUUACUUAUUUUAUUUUCUAGUUAAUUUGAAAGAUCAGAUCUAUUUCUCUUACCUUUGCAGAUCAGAGUUUGGUUGAGGCAAUACUUUACCUGGCCAAGUUCGAUAUGGAGUGUCUGGGAUCAGUGAUGUUCUUUUUUUUUUUUUUUUUUUUUGGUAAGAGUAAGCAAUAUAUAUAUAUUAAUAGGGGUCAAACUGUACAAACAACACGGCUCCAAAAACUUACACUCAAAAUGAACACACUCAUUAAGAGUGGAAGGAAGCCGCGGAAAAGCAACAAAACGACCAACAGAAAGCCAACAGCAAACGCAUCAAUUCCUAAUCUGUUUUCUGCUUCCCUUAUCUGCUAGUCAAGGGGAACGAUCAGAUGUUCUCUUUCCUUCUCAGGUUAGAGUUCGGUCGAGGCAAUACUUUACCUCGUCAAUUUCAAUAUGGAGUGUCUGUGAUCAGUAAUGGUUCGUUCUUGCUGCAUAAGUAUCAAUUCCUUGGACAAGCAGAGUUCUUUCUUAUCUGGAAAGGUCCACACAAGUUCUAGCUUGUUUCUCUUUAUUCUUAUCUGUGUGCUACAAUCGCUAAAUGGAUCUCUCUGGUAAAUCGCAGAGAUAACAUAUGUGAGUCAUACGCCGUGCUCUUUUUCUAUCCCGGAACUGGCUCCAGGCAUUACCUAGUUUACUUGACCUUUCUUCUUACAUGACUUUUAUGUUUUCUUUUGGUACAGAACAAGAGCUGAUUUCUUGUGUUCUUUUGGUGCCAGAGGUUGUUUGAGUUGGUUGGACUCUGUUAAUGGCCAUAUAAAUGUGUGUAGGUUUUCUUUGGUUAUUGGGACUGUGAAGGGUUAUUGCUGACAGAAUUGGUUUUAAUUCGGUGCAUACUGGUGGUGUCUUAUUUGGAAUGAUGUACUUUAGACAUCUAUUACGAUUCGCAUUAUUAAUCUAUCUUAUCCUUUUCUAUUUCGUAACAGUUGAUGAGCCGAUUACUUUCUGGAUCUAGUUUCUGAAACAUCUGGCUUGUUGCAGAAGCUUGAUUUCUUCUGUUCGCGCUGCCUUUUUGGGGCUUGGCCAUGGUCAUGAACAUCAUUAGGUUUAUUGUUGUCCUUUGACAAUUAAUUAAUUGAUUGAUUGGUCGUUCUAUUUAGUUGUUUUAUGAGCAGAUUCUGGAUCCAUUAUUUAGUGGAUUGGAAGUACCUUCUUCUCUGAUGGACCAAUCUCUACUUCUGAGGAUGUCAUGUAAGGAGCAGUAAAUAUGAUGAGUUUGGUCGAUUAUUGCAUACAUUAAAGUGUUAAAGCUUUUUUGGGACUGACAAUUUCUUUGCAGUAUAAUGUUGGGUUGGUGGACUAUAGGAGUACGGGGUGAACACUUAUGUUUCUUUUUAAAUUCAUUCUUUCGUUGAUUAUUUUUUAGUAGUGGCAAGAAUUGAGAUAAUUGUCUAGUUCUAAUUGCUUUAGGUUGACUUCUAUGCUUUAGGUGGCCGUUGAGGAGACUGCUCAUUGACAUUGUUAGUGCUUACGCUCCUUCUUUGAUCUUUGAGCGAUGGAUUGAUCCAUCCUUCUAUUGUUUUACAAGCUGCUUCUGGAUUUAUAAUCUAGUGUAUUGGUUGUACCUUCUUUUCUUGCGGAACGAUCUCGUUGAUCGAGGAGGAUGUCUAAGACAUGUGUCCUUGAUCAUCUUCCGGACUGGUGAAGAACUGAAAUUUCGAUGAACUCCUGCUACGUAAGCUCUCACUUCUUUGAUUUUGGUUCUUUUGAUGUCCUCACUGUCAAUGUGUAUAUGGAUCAACCUUAAUCAAUUGAUAUGUUGGCCGUGCUUUUAUGAUAGGGGGUGCAAGAACUAGCUUGACUGUGCUUUGAGGGUUUUUGGUUCGACUUGAUAUCUCUGGUCGCCAUUGGAUGGCCUCUCUGUUGGACGUACUUGAAAGAAGAGAGUACUAAAUCUCCUUAGUUGCAAUAAGAUAUCUGUGUGGGUUUGCUUAGCCUAUAAUUUCCACUGCUGCAAUACUUUCUUCUGUUACUGUAACUUUGCUGGGGACAUUUCACAAAUGAGGUGAUUUGUAGGUGAUGUGUUGAUUUUAGUUUGUAGUGUUACCUUGAGGGCCUAAUUUCUGUAUAUUUUAGGUUCUUGUUGAUCCAUAGGACUAUGAAGAAUUUUCUGCCAGGAACUAAGAUAUACUUCAUUGGAAACUGUUAGCAUCUCAUUCUGAAAAGAUGAACUGGUACUUUUGCCUUUUAGCUUCCUAAUAACGUACACCGUGGGGGUUUCUUUCAUCACUAGAAGGUCUCUUUCUUCUGGUUGGCAUAUGUGAUCAGGCCUCACAUGGGGAUGAUGACAGGACAGCCAUCUAGACAUAACUUCCCUCGGCAUUGCUUUACCUUUCUUCUCCUUUCUGCUGAUUCUCUUGUUUUUGUCCAUCACAAAGCUGUGUUGUUACGUGUGUACUGUCAGCGGCGAUAUGGCUGAUCAGGCUGGGAGGAUCAGACACUAGCUGCUUGGUUGGCAUGUUUGUCAAAUUUUGGUACUUUUUUUUAGAUUGGUGAAACUGAAGGGGCAUACAACAAUCCUGCAGUGAAUGAGGCUCUGAUUUGAGGUUUUAACAUUUCUGGUGAGCACAGAGUUCAGUCUACUUCCCCUUCUAGUUACUUAUGAUACCCUAAUGGACGGUGGGGAACGUCUACUUUGUAUGUGUAAUCUAAUCUAAGCAUCAAGCAUAGCUGUUGAAGUUCUUUAGGUCUAUGAAUUUAUAGAUCUCCAAUUGCAUCAUGAUCCUUUACCAAUGGUGAUCUGUCAUCCAGAUUAAUUCAUGGUUCUAGUGACUCUUUCUCAGUGGCUCUGCAAGGAUUGUUUGGAGCCAUCUUCCUUCUAAUUGGAAAUAUCAAACUUUUGCCUUAUGAUCAGUUUCAUUUGCUUUGGUAUUUGCUUUGAAGGCAUGAGUUUUGAAGCAUCUAGCUGGGUCUAUUUCCAGAACAAUGCUGGUGAAGGCUUUAAUUUUAUACAGAAAGGUUUAUCAACGCUAUUCAGUUUCGAGUCUCCCUCUGAUCAUAUCGGCUAAUCUAGUGGCUUCCAUGCUAUACGGAUUUUUUCAGUUGUCAGCGGGUGCUUGUUCCAGUUUAGAGAGAUCUCACUAUGGACCCUGUGAGGAUGCUAAUUGAUCAAGCUGUUAGAGAAUCCAAGUUCUUGAGCUGGGGAAGGCAGGAGGUUAUUAUCUAACGCAAUUAUGUUUAGUUGAGCUACUGAAUUGUUGUUUUUCGUUGUGGAUCAGGGUGAUGAGUUAUGUCUGGAUCUUUCUAUAGGGAUUAUUUGUAGCGGCAUGAACUCUGCAAAGAUCUGGUUUAUGAUAUUUUCAUUUCACAGAUUAGAGGAGAUGCGAUGGACAUCUAGUUCUCUUCCUGUUGUAGAUUAUCCCUUUCUUCUUUCAAGUUUGGUGCAGUCCAUAGAAGCUCUCUCCUCGGGAUGCUCUUUAUAUUGAAUCUCCCAGUUGAACAAAUUAGUUUCAUAAUGCUUGUGUGUUGAAAUCAAGAGUUACUUGGUCACGAGUUCACUUGAUCCCUCUAUAUGGAUUCAUGCCUCAUUCUCUUCGAAACUCGUAUUCUAUCACCAUCGUUUUCUGCAGAAGCUGGCUUUAGUUUUUGUACCUGGAAAACUAUAUCCGCAAAGAUGCUUGGAAUUUGCUCGUGGGGGUGCAUGGAGUGGAUGGUUUGGUUGUUUUUGCCAUCUUUAGUGCUCGCACUUUGAAUGAGAUGGUGCACUGGACAUGUUGCUUUAUGAGCCAAGAAAAAUUGACUGUUUUGAAGACCUCCCAAAGAAUUGCGCCUUCCUGCAGGAUGUAUGGAGCUUGUAAAACUCUGCUCAUAUUUUUGGACAUAUUUCUGUCUAUUGUCAGUUGCUCACUUUGUUGAGCAAAUUGUGCAACUUUGUAUCUUCUCACAAGUAAGACGUUCGUGGUUGACAAAAAUCAAGCAUAAUUGUGCAGAGAGCACUUGUUAUCAUUUUGGUCUGGGCGUGAUGUGCUAACUCUUGGAAGUGAUGUCCUUGGCUAAUAAUCUGUAUUUUAUGGACUUCAAAUUCUUGAGAUUUGCCAAAUGAGAGGUGGUGAUUUUCUUUUGACUAGUCUUGAUUUUCGUUUUGUGGCAUCUAAAUGUGGGGGUUCACGGUCAAGUUUCCUAAUUGGAGAUAUUUUUAGUGUUUGCUAACUAGUAAUCAUGGGCAUUAUGGAAUUGGCAUCUCUUCCUCUCUCUUUUGGAAGUUUGCUUUUACAAACUAUCCGGCUGACAUGGGCACUUCGCCAAUUAAAUGUCUCUGCACUUUUUUCUGAUAUGAAUGUUUUGUAAUGGCAAUUGGAGCCUUACAAAAGUGAGGAUUCCCGUGGCUGCUGGGAUGUUUCCUAGCAGAUUUGAGGUCUCAUCUUUUUUACCCUGGAUAGCAUCGUAGCUCCUCUCAGUGCAGUAUUCCAGUUGAAGUGUUGGGAAUAAGUCUUAUUAUCAGAAGAAACAAACUGAUUUCAUCAUUUGUUGAUGCCAAUGCUCUGUUGCACGCAUUCUCAAUUUCAGCUGGUUGAUCUUUUGAUUCAGUCAGGCACAGAAAUUGACCAUACCAGCACUGGUCGGUUUAUUUUUCUUUCCUUGAGUAAAACAACUUUGAUAUUACAGCUAAGCUAUGCUGCCAUUCACAUCGACCUCACUCUAGCACUAAUCUAUGAUAGCUAUCAUAAAUUUGGAAAGUCUAUAAAAUUGAGCUUUAUGAUAAGCCACGGCAAAGCUCCAUUUCAGUGCCUCCUACAGAACAUUAAUUAAUUUGUUGAGAAGUAAUUCAACCGUUAGUUUAUAUUAAUUUAUAAAUUUGCUCCUAUAUAUUUUUCGAAUAAUUUCUAGUUACUAAGUUCUUCUGUUGAAAAUUUAAUUGUUGUACACAUAAUCAUUCUCAAUUUAUGAUUAGCCUCUCAUACUGUAUUCAGAAAUGGAUGAAGAAAUUCAAUCAUUUCUUUAUAUAAUGCAAAAGAUUAGAUGAUUCCGCUUGUUGGUAAAACUAAGUUGUCCUAAUGAUAUUCUGUCCAAUUCUAGCUCUUUCUUUGCCAUAGAAACCAGGAAAGAGGAUCCUUGUGCUCCUACUAGGAGAAGGAAAUCCUCAUAAAGAUGUUUUUCCUUUGCCAGAUUAAAUGUAGUUACCUUUUUCCCCUCUCCAAGUUGAUGAAGAGGAAUGCCACUGCAAGCAUUUUGCAUAUAGAUCAAUUUCCCUUUCACUUUUCCCUUACAUUGGUAGUUUAUGAUUGUCGAUUUGUGAGGGUGGGUGGCUUAUUGUUAUUAGCAUGAGUACCUCAGUAAAUUUGGCCACAUUGGCAUUUGGUAUAUUUUUUAUUACCAGGUCUUUUUAUUCGGUUUCCAUGCUUUCUUUUGCCAAUUAAAUCUUUCAGUAGGUUUUUCAGUUGAGAUAAUGGAUUCUUCUGAUUUUCCAUAGUGGGAAGUCUUAUCUUGAGAACUUUGCUUUCGAUUCUUAUAUUUACUACUUCCUAUUGCUUUUAGUUAAAAUUUUGCAUAUUGUUUCUUCAGGCAUUUUCAUUAUCGAGUAGUCAUUAUUCCUUCUUCUGAUUUUCCAUAGUGGGAACUCUUAUCUUGAGAACUUUGCUUUCGAUUCUUAUAUUUACUACUUCCUAUUGCUUUUUGUUAAUAUUUUGCAUAUUGUUUCUUCAGGCAUUUUCAUUAUCGAGUAGUCAUUAUUCCUCUGCCAAAAAACAUUUUCUAUGAGAAUGGAUGUCUCUUGGUGGAUGCCUGCUGUCCAUGUAAGGUUGUUAAGACUACAGCUUUUGGUGCAUGCUGUCCAACAACUUUUUUCUACAAUGAAGAUUGGAUUUGUUGCCAUUUCUUUCAUGCAGAAGCCAUCUUUGAUUUCUCCUAACAAGAGAAUAGGUUAUCCAUUUCUGCUGAAACUCUUAUCUCGAUAGUUGUUCAUUCUGAAAAUUGGGUGGCUACCUCUUUUGAUGAAUUUGAAGAGAAGUGGGCUGUGGGUCGUGUCUUGUAUCUCAAUAGUAUCUAAUAGUGUUCAUUUUGGCCUGUUAAUAUGCACUAUCUGUGUUCUUUCUGUUGGUACAGAAAUUAGAGUGGCAACUGGACAUAUUAUGCUGGCAUGGAUUUCCUGAAUCAGUCAGGUCUUAAGGAUGCUUAUUAGUGACUGCCCUUCUCUGUGCUCCAUUUUUUUAUUGUGCUCUUUUUUUUUAUUUUUACCUUCGAAAAUUGGAUUGACCUAUACAUUUUCAGGGGUAGAACCUGCUUUGGCAUCAGGUGGGUUCACCUUCAUCUUGGGUGGACUGGUUGUAUCAUCUUCUGACAGUUUGCUGUUGGUGGAUUAGAGGCUAUUUGAUUGGGUUGUUAGAUGUUUGUCAGAGUCUCUUUGUCUUGUUGAUGUUCUUUGAGUAGGACUCUGAAGUUGAUUGGAGUUGCAGCCAUUGAAGUGGUGGGGUUGCACUUGCUUAACACGCACACAACUUGAACACUGUCUGUCCUUUUCUUCACUUCUCCUCCAACAUCUUACUUACUAGAUGGAUAAUGGACCCCAUAUCAUGAAUUAUUGAUCCAUUGGAAGCAAUAUUGAAGAGAUGUCUGUUAGAGUUAUGGAAGAGAAAAAAUGCUUUGCGAAUUAGUUGGAUGAAGUGUGAAUAUCUUUUGAAAGGGAAUUCUAUGGUGACUGCUUUCUCGCUCUUUCUCUUAGUUCUUUGAGGAACUAAGACUUUACAUGAUAUGCGUACAUGGCACGUGUAAUUAUUUAUUGUCAGUUUCCUAGUUUGGAUGCUGUUUGCUGGGUGACUUCAGGUCUGAUGAACUUGAAAAGAGACAUAAGAAAGUCCUUAUUUUUCCCCUUCUGGCUUCUGGUUUGGGGUUGAUCAUGAUGUCAGUCAUAUUUAUUCCCACAUAUGGUUUUCUAUGGUGCCCCUUUUGGAAGAUUCCAUGAAUUGCCUAAGAAUUUAACUUUUAUGGAGAUGAUAUAAAGUCCAAUGUGGAGGCUUUUUUAUAGCCCAGGGGACCCAAGGAGCACAAGAUGAAUAUCGCAUUCACAUAGCCAAUAUUGUCCUUGUCUUACCUUUGUCAAUGUGCCUUUGUCAUGUGCUGAUGAGGCUUUUAACACAUCAGACCAAGGGCAGAGAGAUGAAUUGCUUGUUCGCCAUAUUCAAGGUUGUCUAAAGUCCAAUGUGGAGGCUUUUUUAUAGCCCAGGGGACCCAAGGAGCACAAGAUGAAUAUCGCAUUCACAUAGCCAAUAUUGUCCUUGUCUUACCUUUGUCAAUGUGCCUUUGUCAUGUGCUGAUGAGGCUUUUAACACAUCAGACCAAGGGCAGAGAGAUGAAUUGCUUGUUCGCCAUAUUCAAGGUUGUCUGUUGUACAAGCAAACUAGGUACGUGCCCAAUGAAGAACUUUUCACUGGGGACUUGGAUGGGCUUGAAACCAGAAUCCUCUUCUACCAUGUGCUGAAAAUGUGGGCAUCCUACCAAAAACUGGAAGGGCUAAGGUUGCUCAGUUGAGGGGAGGGGGUUGAGGCUUCUCUGCUUGCAGUUGUGUUGGGGCUUAGCAAGCUGUCCAUCAUUGCUGUUCUGUACAACGCUCUGAUUACAAUGGUUUUUUGUUCCAAAGAUAGUUGCUUUUUACCAUUGCCGGGGUAAUCUCCAGUAAGACUCCAGCUGUAGACUUUCAGCUGAAUAUGUAAGGACUUGAUGCUUCUGGUCCUCUUUUUCCAGAGUUUUUUUCUCUUAGAUUCUAGUGUUCGUGAAUAAGAUGUCUAGAACUUUUCACCUGUUUCCAAAAUAAUGGUGAUUUUAAUUUGGUUAAGAUGGUCAUUGGCACUGGGGUUUUUUAUUCAGUUCUGAUCAUGAUGCAUCGUUGAUAAGUUGGACAAUGUGGAAACAUAUUGCUUUUAUAUGGAUAUGGUUUCUUUCUGGUCUUCAAUUGCUAUGGAAUUUGAUCAGGACAGAAGAUUUACUGAUUGUAGGAGUCUCUCAAUUAUUUCAGAGUCACUGUAAGAAUAAUACUCGCCUUAGUUUGGCUGGAUUGGUAGCAUUUGGUGCACUCCUCGGUGGUAAUUUGACUUGAAAUGAAUAGUUGGAUGCAGAUGGAUGAGUUUAUUACCUUCUUGGGUAAUUGCUUCAGUGGGAUAUGAGAUUAGCCAUUCUCUUUUCUUUGUUAUUUAAUUGUCAUCACCUUGAUUCCCUUGUGAUGUAAAUAAGAUUUUCACCUGAUGGAGAUGUUUUACAAAACCUGUCCUACUCAUUUCUCCCUAUCUUCUGAUGCCGUCGAAAUGGAUGGUCCUCGAAAUAGCGUAUACCAGGUGAUCUUCAGGAGUUUUGAUACCUCAUCUUGCAUGUGUUAAGCUUAUAGCUAGCGUUCCUUCUGAGCCAGGAUCAAACUCUUCUUUUGACUAUGAUUGGGCCCUGCAAUGGUAGAACCUGGUGAGCCGACCGUACUUACUUUCCAACCUUCUAUCUGUGGGCCUUCCUUCUUUUCCUUUUUUGUAAGACAUAUCAAAUUGAUGGUAAUGGAAAAAACAGGAUACGCCCUUUUAUUAAUAUUACUCUUGUCACUAAAAAUGCUUUUUCUUAUCCUCAUGAAUGGGACAAUAUCAUGUUAUUUUCUAUUGUUAUAUUAGUGCUAUUUACUUUUGUUUGUUGGAGUCAUAGGAAUCCCGUUUACUUAUAAUCAAGAAGGAAUUUAGUUGGAUAUAUUAUCUAAAUUGUUAAAUUCGUCUAUAAAGUUUUUACAUCUGAAUUCAAAUAAUUUUGUGGAUUGGUAUGAAUUUGUGACAGAUGCAAGCUUUUCUGUCGAUAGAAAAAUUCACCUACCCCAAUAACGAAAAACCUGACUUAAAUGAUCUUGCAUUCAAAUAAUUUUGUCUAUUUUUAUCUUGCCUGAGUAGAUUAUCUUGAGGUACACAUACAUUACUUUGGGCUAAACCAAAAAACGAAUAUUUUGAAAACGAGUCAAUGAUAACCCUCCAUGAAUUCGCCUAUAUAAGCCGCGGCUAAAGUUGCAAAAAUAAGAGCUUGAAUACCACAUCCAUUUAUAGUGAGUAAUGUUCCUUCUUUGGUCAUACAGAUUCCUGCCAGCCAGUAUGUUGCGGUCUCUCUGGGAAAUGCUCCCCGAGCAUGGUUAUUGUGUUCCUGUUAGAUGUGGAAGUAUUUACUUGUGUCCAGCUUCUGGUAUUAUUGACAACCUCUAUCACUGCUGAUCCCUUCUAUUUGUUCAUUAUAGUAACCUGGUUUUUGUUAUACAAUGAGUGUUCUGUAUUAAGAUUGGUACUACCUUGACCAAGUAGCCAUAUGGAAGCUCUCUAAUUCUGACCAAGAGACAAUUUCCAAAUAUUUGUCACUAUUAGUCGUUUCCCUUCCCAUUGAUUUUUUCCUUGCAAGGCCAUAUCAUUUGUGCUAUCUGCAGUCAAGUGAACGUGAGAACUAUCAGAGAUGCCAGUUACUCCUGUAGAUCUUCGUACUGAUGUAGAGGUCUUGGUGUAUCUCCAUCGCCUCCUGGGGAUCUGAAUCCAUAGCGGGGUUUUUGUUUGCCUAUGUUUUCCUUGACAGUUGGUUAAGCACGAUACAAUCUUAUCUGACUGUGAACAUGUAUUACUAUACUGUGUUGAGAUUUACUUGAACGUUCAUAUUUGGAAACAUCUUUAGGGCCCAUGAUUAUGAUGAUGGAGCCAUCAGUAGAAGCUUGAUGUUUGUAUUUGACUCCUUUCAGAAUCCCUCUCUUGAACUUGAAGUUUGAACGUAGUCAUGACUCUCUCAACUGUUCUUUCUUUCGUUGGAUGACAAGCGGGAGAAGAGGGUCAUCUUGCAGAUUCUGAAUCUGUUUAUUUGAAGAAGCCUGGAUCUUCUAUUUGCAUGCACCUCAGCUCUAGGUUCUCAUGCCGAUUUCUAAUCCAGAUCCAUUGAUCUGUGUUCCUCAGCUCCUUCAUUACUUCAUCAUCUCUUGCAAUUUUUGGGCAUUGUUGAUAAGGAAGAAACUCAAGGAUCAGGCAACUCAGACAAGAAAAGGAGGCCGAUCGAUGCUAUGAUAUCCAGCAUCAAGGCCAAAUCCCAAGGCUGAGAAUUACCAAGCAGUUGCCCACAGGGAUUUUGCUCUUACUUGUGUUAUAUAUAGUGGCGGAGCCAGGCUCAAUUGACAGGAGGUACUCUCAACGUUAGUGAACUGUCCACAAACAUUCUGCAAAUCCAUGCGUGAUGCAUGUCCUUUGUACUAAGAUGUGCUACGACACAGAUCAUUUUUCAAAUUCAUAUUUGAAAAGAGCUUCUGUGGCACAAGAACAUUUUUCAUGCAUGCGUUUUGUAAACAGAGUUGGGUCUUUCUGUCCAAAAUUUUGAUAUUAGUGCACUGGUUAUGCAACUAUCGCGCCAACCUCAGAACUGGUGAAAAAUUGCAGUGAGGAAGGCUACUCUCAGCAAUGCGGCGGCCACUGAAUUUGUUAAAGAGUGGCUGGGAGAUGGGUUGGCUACUGAGUGUAGUUGUGUCUUGAUUAAAGAACUAGCCCUCAUCCCAUCUGGAGUGGAAAAUCUGCUGCUCUGCUGAAUGCUUUUGUUUCCUUCUUGUAGUUGAGUCAACAGAAACAUCUAGAAGAUGAGAGUUGCCUUCACUGUGGCGUGGCCGGAGGAGAGUGGGACGAGACCCAAUUGUCGCUGCUCGAGUAGGGGUGGAUGUCUUGAGAUUGUUGGAAUUUGUGUUGCCAAGGGAGCCAUUGAAUCUAGACGGCUGCCAUGUAAUUCUCAGUUCAUAAUAAUAGUGUGCUCCUUUCUAUCCGUGGAUGUAGGUCAAAUUGACCGAACCACGUAAAUUUUGUGUGCA